GAUGAACGCUGGCGGCGUGCCUAAUACAUGCAAGUCGAGCGAAUGGAUUGAGAGCUUGCUCUUAUGAAGUUAGCGGCGGACGGGUGAGUAACACGUGGGCAACCUGCCCAUAAGACUGGGAUAACUCCGGGAAACCGGGGCUAAUACCGGAUAACAUUUUGAACCGCAUGGUUCGAAAUUGAAAGGCGGCUUCGGCCGUCACUUAUGGAUGGACCCGCGUCGCAUUAGCUAGUUGGUGAGGUAACGGCUCACCAAGGCAACGAUGCGUAGCCGACCUGAGAGGGUGAUCGGCCACACUGGGACUGAGACACGGCCCAGACUCCUACGGGAGGCAGCAGUAGGGAAUCUUCCGCAAUGGACGAAAGUCUGACGGAGCAACGCCGCGUGAGUGAUGAAGGCUUUCGGGUCGUAAAACUCUGUUGUUAGGGAAGAACAAGUGCUAGUUGAAUAAGCUGGCACCUUGACGGUACCUAACCAGAAAGCCACGGCUAACUACGUGCCAGCCGCCGCCGUAA
Molecule: ribosomal RNA, 515 nt
Filed under: uncultured bacterium
Lineage: Bacteria
Description: partial 16S ribosomal RNA
Rfam family: Bacterial small subunit ribosomal RNA
Source: RNAcentral